AACGAACGCUGGCGGCAUGCUUAACACAUGCAAGUCGAACGAGACCUCCGGGCUUAGUGCGCACGGGUGCGUCACGCGUGGGAACCUGCCCUUAGGUUCGGAAUAACUCCCCGUAAGGGGUGCUAAUACCGGCUAAUGUCUUCGGACCAAAGAUUUAUCGCCUUUGGAUGGGGCCGCGUUGGAUUAGGUGGUUGGUAGGGUAAAAGCCUACCAGGGCGACGAUUCAUAGCUGGUCUGAGAGGAUGAUCAGUCACACUGGGACUGAGACACGGCACAGACUCCUGCGGGAGGCAGCGGUGGGGAAUAAUGGAGAGCGGGCGAAAGCCUGAGCCAGCAAUGCCGCGUGAGUGAUGAAGGCCUGAGGGUUGUAAAUCUCUUUUGCCCGGGAUGAUAAUGACAGUACCUGGAUAAUAAGCCCCGGCUAACUCCGUG
This 432-nucleotide ribosomal RNA is filed under the name uncultured bacterium. RNAcentral's name for it is "partial 16S ribosomal RNA". It matches the Rfam family "Bacterial small subunit ribosomal RNA", at positions 29 to 507 of the family's 1533-position model. The record is from RNAcentral.